UCUAGAAGAAAGAUCCUCAAGUCACAGAAUAACACAUAGGCAAUUUGGUAAAUAUUUCCAAAUUCUUCUUCAUAGGAUUCAUCAUUUCGCAUUUCUGUAACCAUGAAUGAGGGUGUUUGUUUUCUUAGAACUGUCCAUGUGGAACAUCCUGUCAGCCUCAGCUUUUUAACAAUCAGGAAGAAAGUCACACAACCACAUAUUUUCUGAACAUAAGCUGAACUUCUACUUCCAUGGAGUGAGUUACUUCACCUCAUUGGCAAAAGACAACAGAAGAGUCCAAAGUCUGAGGGGACUGGGCAAGCUUCUGUCACAUGCUUUCAGAAUGAAGACAAUCUGCAAGAAUUUUAAGUUGUGACCUCUACAGAGAAAAGAAUGAAAAGUAGCCAAAUCUCCACAUGAGAGAUUUUGGACUAUUUUGCAGUGUAAACCCCAUCUGAUUUAUAUGAAGUAAGCAGACUUUCUCUCCAAGAGUUCAAAAUAAAUUAAUUCUAAUGCUAAA
This 499-nucleotide long non-coding RNA is filed under the name Homo sapiens (human). RNAcentral describes it as "HSALNT0335286". Lineage: Eukaryota; Metazoa; Chordata; Mammalia; Primates; Hominidae. The record is from RNAcentral.